AUGAACGCUGGCGGCGUGCCUAAUACCUGCAAGUCGAACGCAUAGCGAAAGGUGCUUGCACCUUUCAAGUGAGUGGCGAACGGGUGAGUAACACGUGGACAACCUGCCUCAAGGCUGGGGAUAACAUUUGGAAACAGAUGCUAAUACCGAAUAAAACUUAGUGUCGCAUGACACAAAGUUAAAAGGCGCUUCGGCGUCACCUAGAGAUGGAUCCGCGGUGCAUUAGUUAGUUGGUGGGGUAAAGGCCUACCAAGACAAUGAUGCAUAGCCGAGUUGAGAGACUGAUCGGCCACAUUGGGACUGAGACACGGCCCAAACUCCUACGGGAGGCUGCAGUAGGGAAUCUUCCACAAUGGGCGAAAGCCUGAUGGAGCAACGCCGCGUGUGUGAUGAAGGCUUUCGGGUCGUAAAGCACUGUUGUAUGGGAAGAACAGCUAGAAUAGGAAAUGAUUUUAGUUUGACGGUACCAUACCAGAAAGGGACGGCUAAAUACGUG
RNAcentral lists this ribosomal RNA (496 nucleotides) under uncultured bacterium. Its description in RNAcentral is "partial 16S ribosomal RNA". It matches the Rfam family "Bacterial small subunit ribosomal RNA", at positions 29 to 507 of the family's 1533-position model. The record is from RNAcentral.